This 228-nucleotide ribosomal RNA is filed under the name uncultured bacterium. RNAcentral describes it as "partial 16S ribosomal RNA". It matches the Rfam family "Bacterial small subunit ribosomal RNA", at positions 568 to 795 of the family's 1533-position model. The record is from RNAcentral.
UGCGCAGGCGGACCUAUUAGUCAGUGGUGAAAUCCCGGGGCUCAACUCCGGAACUGCCAUUGAUACUGUAGGUCUUGAGUUUGGUUGAAGUGGGCGGAAUGUAGCAUGUAGCGGUGAAAUGCAUAGAUAUGCUACAGAACACCGAUCGCGAAGGCAGCUCACUAAACCAAAACUGACGCUCAGGCACGAAAGCGUGGGUAGCAAACAGGAUUAGAUACCCUGGUAGUC